ACCUGCCUAUUAAUCGAUUUUCCACGAUAUAUUUCACUUUUAUUUAAAUCUUAUAUACCUCCAUCUCAAGGAUUAAUAUUUAUAUUCUUCCCAUAAUAGAAAUUCUAAAAAGUUAGGUAAAGGUGUAGACCACAUAAAAGUUAGGGUGGGUUACAAUAAAUCUAAUUUAAGGAUAUUUAUUUAAAAUUUAGUUGAAAAAGGAUUUAUAAGUAAUUUAAGAAUAAUAUUCUUUAAUGAAUUNGAUAAAUAAUGUGU
Molecule: ribosomal RNA, 255 nt
Filed under: Metepeira spinipes
Lineage: Eukaryota; Metazoa; Arthropoda; Arachnida; Araneae; Araneidae
Description: partial 12S ribosomal RNA
Source: RNAcentral